UACGUAGGUGGCAAGCGUUGUCCGGAAUUAUUGGGCGUAAAGCGCGCGCAGGCGGUCCUUUAAGUCUGAUGUGAAAGCCCACGGCUCAACCGUGGAGGGUCAUUGGAAACUGGGGGACUUGAGUACAGAAGAGGAAAGCGGAAUUCCACGUGUAGCGGUGAAAUGCGUAGAGAUGUGGAGGAACACCAGUGGCGAAGGCGGCUUUCUGGUCUGUAACUGACGCUGAGGCGCGAAAGCUAGGGGAGCAAACAGG
This 253-nucleotide ribosomal RNA is filed under the name uncultured bacterium. Its description in RNAcentral is "partial 16S ribosomal RNA". It matches the Rfam family "Bacterial small subunit ribosomal RNA", at positions 524 to 776 of the family's 1533-position model. The record is from RNAcentral.